RNAcentral lists this non-coding RNA (23 nucleotides) under Arabidopsis thaliana (thale cress). Lineage: Eukaryota; Viridiplantae; Streptophyta; Magnoliopsida; Brassicales; Brassicaceae. The record is from RNAcentral.
GUAUCUUAGAAAGCAUGCUCCUU